RNAcentral lists this ribosomal RNA (254 nucleotides) under uncultured bacterium. RNAcentral's name for it is "partial 16S ribosomal RNA". It matches the Rfam family "Bacterial small subunit ribosomal RNA", at positions 524 to 776 of the family's 1533-position model. The record is from RNAcentral.
UACGGAGGGAGCAAGCGUUACUCGGAAUUACUGGGCGUAAAGGGCGCGUAGGCGGUCUUGUAAGUCUUGUGUGAAAUCCCUCGGCUUAACUGAGGAACUGCACGGGAUACUGCGAGACUUGAGAUCGGGAGAGGGAAGCGGAAUUCCGGGUGUAGCGGUGAAAUGCGUAGAUAUCGGGAGGAACACCAGUGGCGAAGGCGACUACCUGGCCUGUUUCUUGACGCUGAGGCGCGAAAGCUAGGGGAGCAAACGGG